GGGAGGACUGUUCAUCCAUUUGCAACUCGAGUUUGGCUGUGAUUUACAUUUGAAGCAGAUAUUUUAAUCCCACAGUUGCGUAUCAGGACCAGACCUAGAAUCACUCCACAGUGCUCAAAUUGCCUCCCCAAGUGAAGCCAGGUCUCAGCAGCCAGCCUGACCACAGCCAGUGCCAGUGCCACCAGCUGCAGGGCAAUCAGGAAUUUAAACCAUGGAUUUGCUGCUGCCAAGGCAUUUGCCCACAUGGAGAAUGCGGGUUUGCUGCAGUGUUUUGGAGUUGUCUGGAAGGGAAGGGAGAAGCCCACAGAAUUAAAUCUGAUUCCCACGGGGCUGCUGCACAGC
Molecule: non-coding RNA, 342 nt
Organism: Taeniopygia guttata (zebra finch)
Lineage: Eukaryota; Metazoa; Chordata; Aves; Passeriformes; Estrildidae
Source: RefSeq, a predicted model, not a curated record